GCCCUGGCUGGGCGGUCCACCAAUGGUCGGUACUGCUUUGGCUGGGGUUCACUUUCUGGCGAACCUUUGUGCCCUUUAUUGGGUGUAUUGGGAAACCAGGACUUUUACCUUGAAAAAAUUAGAGUGUUCAAAGCAGGCUUAUGCUUGAAUACAUUAGCAUGGAAUAAUAAAAUAGGACUUGGGUUCUAUUUUGUUGGUUUCUAGGACCAAAGUA
This 214-nucleotide ribosomal RNA is filed under the name uncultured fungus. RNAcentral's name for it is "partial small subunit ribosomal RNA". The stretch from base 48 to 214 matches the Rfam family "Eukaryotic small subunit ribosomal RNA", at positions 695 to 864 of the family's 1831-position model. The record is from RNAcentral. Lineage: Eukaryota; Fungi.